Molecule: ribosomal RNA, 496 nt
Filed under: uncultured bacterium
Lineage: Bacteria
Description: partial 16S ribosomal RNA
Rfam family: Bacterial small subunit ribosomal RNA
Source: RNAcentral
GAUGAACGCUGGCGGCGUGCCUAAUACAUGCAAGUCGAGCGAACGGACGAGAAGCUUGCUUUUCUGAUGUUAGCGGCGGACGGGUGAGUAACACGUGGAUAACCUACCUAUAAGACUGGGAUAACUUCGGGAAACCGGAGCUAAUACCGGAUAAUAUUUUGAACCGCAUGGUUCAAAAGUGAAAGACGGUCUUGCUGUCACUUAUAGAUGGAUCCGCGCUGCAUUAGCUAGUUGUAAGGUAACGGCUUACCAAGGCAACGAUGCAUAGCCGACCUGAGAGGGUGAUCGGCCACACUGGAACUGAGACACGGUCCAGACUCCUACGGGAGGCAGCAGUAGGGAAUCUUCCGCAAUGGGCGAAAGCCUGACGGAGCAACGCCGCGUGAGUGAUGAAGGUCUUCGGAUCGUAAAACUCUGUUAUUAGGGAAGAACAUAUGUGUAAGUAACUGUGCACAUCUUGACGGUACCUAAUCAGAAAGCCACGGCUAACUACGUG